CACGUAGGGUGCGAGCGUUGUCCGGAAUUAUUGGGCGUAAAGAGCUCGUAGGCGGUGUGUCGCGUCGGCCGUGAAAACCUGCAGCUUAACUGUGGGCUUGCGGUCGAUACGGGCAUCACUGGAGUUCGGCAGAGGAGACUGGAAUUCCUGGUGUAGCGGUGAAAUGCGCAGAUAUCAGGAGGAACACCGGUGGCGAAGGCGGGUCUCUGGGCCGAUACUGACGCUGAGGAGCGAAAGCGUGGGGAGCGAACAGG
This 254-nucleotide ribosomal RNA is filed under the name uncultured bacterium. RNAcentral's name for it is "partial 16S ribosomal RNA". It matches the Rfam family "Bacterial small subunit ribosomal RNA", at positions 524 to 776 of the family's 1533-position model. The record is from RNAcentral.